Long non-coding RNA from Cavia porcellus (domestic guinea pig), 10615 nucleotides. RefSeq lists it as uncharacterized. The transcript has 2 exons. The record is from RefSeq and is a predicted model, not a curated record. Lineage: Eukaryota; Metazoa; Chordata; Mammalia; Rodentia; Caviidae.
UGAGUCACCGGCUGCAGGCGCGCGACCCCCGGCCUUGGCCCGCGCCACCAAGCUGCAGUUCCUGGAGCGCUCAGAGCUGCACCGUGGCGCGGGGUUCAAGGUGUUUUCGGAGAGUCCUUGGGAAGGGGCGGCCGGGGAGAAGCGGAGGCUGAGUUUACACCGGAAUCUUCCGAAGCCUAGGAUUCCGAGCCGCCAAAGUGCCCUCCCCAAAGAGGAACUACAAGGUGGUGCACUUGACAUCCGGAGAGAAAGAAGACAAGACAGCCCUGCCUGGCCGCCAAUGCGGGGAGAACGGGAUACUGCCAAUCCACGGCUCUCACCGGCGCGAGGCUCUUAGCUUUCACGGUGCUUCCCUCCACCCCGCCUCAUUGUGCAGGGUCACUCUCGUGCCUCGUCACCAUUUCCUGUGAAAGAAGGGAGGCCAAAGAGGUGAGUCAAUGAUUCUGCCUAGGGAACAAGCCUAAUUAGUGGGCAGAGCUGUUUCCCAGCCAUCUGACACUUUUUGAUGAAGUGUAAAAUACAGUGGUGAGAGACAAGGACAAGAGCUGGAGAGUCAGCUCAACAGCCUGGAGGUGGCGAGAAUCAGAUGUGAACUACCCUCACUCCAAACCUCCAAACUGAAGGCAGUGUGGACUGGAUCAGCAGUAGGACACCAGACAGCACUUGGCACUGGGCAGCUGGUGUGACAUAAGGAAGUAAGGAUCACGGAGGGAGAAAUCCUUUAGUGCAACAUGGUCUUUGGAGGAGAUUUCUCAGAGGAGAUGGACACAUCUGAAUAAAUCCUUAGGAGACUGGGAAAAGGAGGAAAGAAGAGGUAUGACUAGCUGUCCCAGCAAAGGGUCCAAAGGCGGAAGUAGUUGGCUUGCUAAGGGAGAGCGAUGGAUGCUGGGAAGGAUUUGGUGGGAGUUGAGGUUGGCCAGAUUAGGUGAGUCUGAACUCAGGCAGUCUUUGGAUGCCAAGGAUGGAAUUGGCAGGCAGCUGGCUCCUUGCUGAUGCUGCCGGAUGUUGUGGCUCUUCUGAAGACCCAAGUAGGACCAGGCCUGCAAAUAAAGCCAGCUGGGGGAAUCAGGGAAACAGUGGUCUCUGGGCCAUGUCCCUAUGCAACAACACCAUGAGCCCCACCCUGUGGCAUGGAAGUGAAAUAGGGUGGUGUUUUUCUGUGUGUAACAGAUGUGCAACUGAUGCGAAAACCCAAAGGUGGUGUUUUUCCAGAAAACUCAGGGUUAUCGUCACAACUAUAAUACCUUGACUAAGAAGACUAAUCACGAGGACACUUAGACAAGUCCAAUCAGGAAUGUGACCCUAUAAAGAAAUGUAACAAAGAAGAUCUCAGAAAGGGGCUACAAAAGUCCCGGAGAGUCUGGGGCACAAGAUGUGUAGCAGUCACAGACAACAGGGGCAAGGUGCAGAGCUGCCACUGGCCCUGGCGCAGCAGGCUGGCCUUGCUCUCUGAAAUCUUUUUAUUUAUUUAUUUAUUUUUUCUUUUUCCUUUUUAUCGGUACCGGGGAUCGAACUCACGACUGCCUGCUUGCAAGGCAGGCACUUAUGCCGCUGAGCUAAAUCCCUAGCCCCCAAUCUUUUUAAUUAGACCAUCUGGGGGCUAGAAUCGGUUGGCAUAGAUGGGGAAAACCACUGUCAAGCCAAUGUGGUUUCCACAGGAAUCACGGAGCAUAUGCGGGAGGUGAAGGAAGACCUUGUUCCUCAGGAAUCAGGCUCCACAGGCAUCUUCAGUCAACUAACAUAUAAGGAAACUGCCCUCCUGGUGGUCCCACUUUCACAGUGCUCUCAGGAGGUGAAGGCUCUACUGCCAUCAGCUGCUGCCCUGGGUCCAGCAUGGUUUAUGAGUGUCUGGUUGCCUUUGCUCUUGACAGAACCAGGUAAAAGAAUGUAGAAUCCAAAGUCAUCCCCUCCACUCCUGGGAGGAGGGUCCACACUCACCCCUACGUAUAGGCGAUGAUGCUGACAGCAAGUGGAGAAAUUUCUGGUGGCCACAGCAAGGAAGGCCCAGUGAGGAGAGAGAGGGAGGGUUUCUGCAAGUCUCACCACUUAUUUCCCAGGACUCAGGACCAACUGUCAUUCCUGACACUUCUGACCCCAAGAGAGGAUUGCCCCUGCCCAGGGCUUCCCUGGGGUGGGAGGAAGGGGCAGGAAGUUACCAUGCUCACGUGACAGAACUUUGAUAUAGAGGUUGGCUGAUUUGCCUCAAGCCACAGACACUGUAGCAGGGCUAAGCAUUGACAGCUGCUUACUUCCACUGUGGCCUAUGACCUCCUUCCAGAUUCAGAUCCUAAAUGGGUGCAGAAGGAGCCUGCUGCCCCUCCCUGAGAUAGCUUUUGGUGAUCAGGGAUGACACUGAGUGCUGUUUCCUCUCUGGGCCUUCAGAGUAUGUCCCAGCAGCACCACAGAAUUGAAGCCACCCCUAAGAGGCUUGCUGAUUCCUAAUGUUCACCAAACUUUGAAAACAAGGGUAAUCGCGAUGGUCACAGUUUACUCAGGACCCACCAGGUGCCUGCCACUGUGCCAGCAUUCUACAUGUAGUCUCCAGAGCUUCCACAGCAGAGCUGAGUAAGGAUUACCAACCCCAUCUGCAGAUCAGGACACAGGGCCUCCAGGGGCCUGUUCAACUUGCUUGGAGUAAUAUAUAGCUCAGGGUGGACAUACAAAGAGAUGCCUUUCAGGGGUCCGUCUCCAACUGAGCCAUUUCAGAUUUCUACUUCAUUGGAUGUCUUCCUGUUUGACGUUUCUUCCAAGCACAGGUCCUUUUUCUUUUUCUUUUUUUUUGAAGGAGGGCAAUAAUGGGCAUGGAACCCAGGGUCGCUGGGACUCUAGGCAAGUGCUGUACCCUGGAACUAUAUUCCAGUCCUCACCCUUCUCCUUGAAAGCUGUCAAAGACAGUAAAGUACUCCAGAUAAGCUGGGUCCCUCUGCAUUUUGCGUGGGGAUGGGGAGAGUGGCUAAUAGGGAAGAGAGGGCUCAGUUCAGUGGGUGACCUUGUCUCAAGCUGUGUUUGAAAGCCGGGUUAUUUAGUAGAAUGGCUUGGGCAAAUUCUUCCCCUCAGUUUCUUCAACUGUAACAUGGGAGUAGCAUUGCUGAGAAUGACUAGAUGAAUAAGGCAAGUAAAAUCCAGGGCUUGGUGACCUCCUGUCUGGUGAGCCCACUUAUAGGCAUGCUGCUGGUGCUGCUGGUGCUGGGACUCCUAAGGGGCCUGUCCAGGGCACAUGCGGGGGAUUGAGGCCAAGCAUGGAUCCCAGGAAGACCUCUCUUAGUACACCCACAAGCCAGUAAGGACAGACUGUCCUGUGCUAUAGCCAGGUGGCCGCCGCCUCCAGAGUUCAUGUGGAGCAGGCUGGAAGCAAGGCAGAGGAAGGCACAGAGCAAGCCCCAGCCCGUCUCUACCCAUUACCCCCGAGACCCUGGGCCAGCACAGAAGCCUCCGGCUGUGUCUACAGCUGCAGGAGAGGCCCAGAAGGCAGCUGAGGGGAGCUGGUUUGAACCUUCUCUCCCUGCACUGCCCGCAUCUGCUCCAGGCAGGAAAGAAGCCUGGGAUGGUAAACAGAACAUACGUUACCAGGCAACACUUACCAUGAAGACAGAGGUUUGGAAUUGAGCAACCCUGUGAGGACCUCCAUCAUCCCCACUGCACAGAUAAGGAGACUGAUGCCUGCAAAGGUCACCAGCCAUCCUGUGGAGCAUAUGCCACCUACUGCCACCUGACUGCAUGAAUAUAGCAGCUGUCUCUAAGGAAAUCAUCUGUACAUUGAGCUUCUGUGAUCCACUACAAACGAAGGGAAGAACCUGGCUUUUAGAAAUUUCCAGACUCUUAUUACUCUUCCCUUUUUUAUUUGCCUAACAACUGUGACUUCUCACUUACUUACUGGAGCAACUCACUCCAGUUUCUAUCCCUGGAGUGUAAACUCCAAGUGUGUAGGGAUUUUUGGUUUUUUGUUUUGCUUUGUUCUGGGUAUGGGCUUCGCCCAGGGCUUCACUCACGCUAGGCAAGGGCUGCCCCACUGAGCUGCAGACCCGCGCCUCAAAGGUGGUUCUACAUCCUGUUCAUCACAGUUUCCCCAGUGCUUAGGCAGUGCUCAUAAUGACGGCAUACAAUAAUACUCAUUAAAUGUUUGUUGAUGCAAGGAAGAAGGGAAGGAGGGGAAAAGGCAGGGUAGCUCUGUGCAGCAUACACUUCUCUCUUGACAAAAGGGUGCAGAACUAUGGACUACAAAGAUGGGCAACUCAUCUACAGUCAGGGUGGGCCAGGGCAGUGACUCCCCUAACUUCUUCCCAGACCCCUUCCCUAAGCCGUCGGGCUACGCCAAACCCUGCUGCCCCAAGAGAAGGUGACAAAGUCUUCUGAGGUGCCAGCAGAAGGCAGAGACAGAAUGGCCCUGAUUCUGGUGGACAACUGCAGGAACUAUGAAUGUCAUUGCUGAUGGUGAAAUACCCAGCUGUCGCACUUGGGAGUAAGGGGCCUGCAGAGGCUGUAGGCUAAUUAGAAAUGGGUCGGAUGUUCUUUAUUAACAGCAAGGCACUCAUAUAAAAGAGAAACGCAUAAAUAAAGCCAACUGGUCAGCAGCACUGGUCCCAGAAGCAGAGUCCUAAAGCCCCUGACCUUGCCGUCUCUGCCACCUUCUGCUUUGCUUCUUCUUCUUCUCCACAGCCUCUGCAGAGCUGAGUGACAAAGGUCCUCAGACCAGAUGGCCCACCGAACACCAAGCCAGUGCCGACCAUAUGUCUGUCUCACCACCUUGAAUGCAAGUUCCUCUGAGCAGGGGCCAGCAGUGCCUUUUGUACAGAGUUUCUAACACCAGUAUCUUGGCAGUACCCACUAAAUAUCUGUGCAGAGUAGGUGACUGACUGAAUGAAUCCUAGAGUGGCACACUGUAGCUACCUACCAUUCUGUCCCAUAAAAACCCCAAGUUGCCCUCUCAGACAGGGUAACCAGUGCCUGUUAACCUCCUGGGGUGUGCUUCCCAGUCCUUUUCUUUCCUUCCUGAACAACUACCAUGCCAGGUACUUCUAGGAACUGAGGACACAAAAAUGAACAAAGUCUGGCUCUAGCCUCUCAAGGGUCCAGUAAUUGAGACUUUGAGUAGAUACAAAAAUACUUACAGUAUGAUAUAAUAGCCUCUAUAGAAGGGGGCAUUCUUCACAAAUCAGAAGUCACUUGAGAUCUUAAAAGAGUAAGUGGGUGGGCAAGACCUGGAAAGGAAUUCUGGGAAGAGGAGCAAGCCAAAGUUGCAAAGAUGUAUGAGUAUCCCAUAACACAGGAAAUAGUGAGUGGCUUGAUGUAGGUGGGUAGGGAUGGGGAUGGUAACGAGGUUAGAGGGGAGGGCACAGACCAGUUGACAGAUGUCUUCUAGGCUUCUGUACAAAAUUUGUACUUAAGAACGCUUAAAAGAAAUGUCCAGAAUUUUUUUUUUAUUGGUACCAGGGAUCAAACUCAAGACUGCCUGCUUGCAAGGCAGGUGCUUAUGCCGCUGAGCUAAAUCCCCAGCCCGAAAUGUCCAAAUUUUAAAAUAGAGGAUGACACGAUUGGUUAUAAAUUUCAUGGAGAAGGUGGAAGACCAGUGAGGGGGGAUCAUUAUAACAUUGCAAGCAGCCAAGCAAACAGUGCUGGAUUUGGGCAGUAACAAGCUGGAAAGGAAGGUGGAUUCAAAGGAUUUGAUGAUCAGUUGGAGGUGAAGUGAGAGAAAGAAUUUGAGGAUAACAUGUAAAUGUCUUGCAUAGCAGAGAAAUGUUUUGGUAUAAGGGGAAAACAUGAACAAAAAUGGGGAGUCAGGAGGGACAGAUUUGAAAGGCAUGUUCAGCUGUACUUGAGUCUCUGUGGCUGCUCCAGGAAAGCACCUAUAAAUGCAGGUUGAGCUCAGGAGGAGGAAUGGAUGGGCCAGUCAGUCAGAGAUGAAAACCUAGGUGUAUACUUGAGGCAAACAGGUUGCUGGGUGGCUACUCAUGAGCCCACACUAAGGUGGGGGAAGCAUACCUCAGAAACUGGGCUUCUGCAUCUUUUAUGUGAAGAUGGAGAUACAGACAGGUGCCAUUUUUUCCUGCUUCUGUGAGAUGGCCUGAUUCGAGGCCCUAGUCCAGGCCCUCAGGAGCACUCAUUUCUCUUUCCAAGGACCUUACCGCCUGGGUCACAUCAGGAUGAAUCCCCAGACCUUGGGUUUGCACACACUUUACGAGGCCAGGCAAUAAGGCCAAGAGACUCUGAGUUGAAGAAACUGUUGUCUUAGCCCUGCGUUUCUUUAAUCUACAACUGACACUUCCAUUUGCCUUGUGAAACUGGGAGGUGGAAAUUAAGGGAAUUUUCCCAGGGCUGGUAUAUAUUUUAAAGCUCUCAGUCAGGCUAAAAGCAUCUAUCGAUAAUUUUGAGUGUAAUCUCUACUCCCUUACAAGUCAAAAUAAUUGAACAGGCAGAAAAAACUGUUAACGCAGGAGGUGUAUAAUGCCAGAUUCCCACUGCCUGGAAAUUUACCAUUUCAAAGCUAUUGAGGGUUUUACAGCCAGCCUUUACAGUCCCUCAUGUCCCCUCUCUCCGAAGCCACCCUCUGAAGUCAUCAAAAAGCCCAUCAAUCUGGCUUGGACACUGAAACUGUUCACAGUGUCUGGAGCUGCUGCCAACACAGAACGAAUUUUUAAAAAGCAUCUUGCCAUUUUAUCAGCGCAUAAAUCUUGAGUUUCCUCCUGGGAGAUGGUGUAAGCAGCUAGGCUGGCAGUGCUCGUGGGGCCAGCAGCGGUGGAGCCCUGAGGUGUCACAGGCACCUUCUCCCCGUAUCCUCCCCUUUCCCUUGGAAUUCCUGCCCCAUACGCACGCAGGUUUCCUCAGUGUAGGUUAACACUUCUCCGUCCUGCCCAGAAAGGAGACACCAGCCUCUGCUUUCCGCAGCGAGGGUGGCUCCUAGGGUGCUAGGUCCUCCAGCAGGGAGCAGCACUGUGCUGCCGCUACUGACCUCAGCCUGGAGGCACCGGGAGAAAAGGGCCAGACUUUACAGCUGGGACCAACACCUCUACUUUGUGCCAGUGCCUGUGCAUGUGCAUAUAAAUACAUGUGUGCGUGUGUGUGUGUGUGUGUGUGUGUGUGUGUACACGCGUGCACGCGGAGGUACCGUGGGUUUUUUGUUUUGUUUUGCUUCUUGGUGGCCUUUUUGAGUCGGAGUUUCACUGUGUAGCUCAAACUGGCCUUGAACUCAUUUUGUAGCCCAAGCUGGCUUGGAACUCACAAAAAUCUUCCUGCCUCGGCUGGCCUCCUGAGUGCUGGGAUUACAAGCUUGACCACCACACCGGGCUGUGGAACUAUUCUCUAUUGGAAUCUAAUUUCAGCUUUUCCUGGAAGUACUGAACUCUUUGCUGGUGAUCAGGGAUGGCACUGUGCGCUGCUUCCUCGCUGGGCCUUAGGAGUGGAUCCCAGCAGCACCACAGCGAUGCUCCUGCCCAAGCCACCUCCUGUCUUGGAAUUACUGCUUUAGCAGCCACAAUGAGGGAAUUUCUCAAUCUAUAUAUCUAAUCAUUUGUUUUUGCUUCCAUCUCAGCAUCACGUCUCUGCAAAGAUCACUACCUAGAAUUAGAGCAUUUAUCAUGUUCUUGGAGAGCCAAGACUGAGAUGGGAACCUGGGUUUUAGUCACAGAUACAUCAUCACCCAGCUCGGUGACCUUGAGAAGUUACCUGCUGAGCCUCUUUCUCAUGUUUACAAUAGAAUUUGGUGGCCAGAUAUGGUGGCACAUAUCUAUAGUCCCAGCCCUCUGGAAAGCUGAGGAAAGGGAAUCACAAAUUCAAGCCUACCCUGGGCAACCUAGUGGUAAAGCAAGUCACUGUUCUCAGAACACCAAGAAAGGCUGGGUGUGUAGCUCAGUGUGGACACGCUGGGUCCAACCCCCAGUACAGCCACUUGGUCAAUAAAUGGACUUGUGUACAAAAGUUCUUAGAAGGUCCUUUCAGGGCUAGCACUUUAGGGUUCUAUUCACCUCUUUUAAUAUUUUAAACUCUUUCCUGCCCCAGCAAGUUAUUGACAAUAAACCGGGACACAGUUUAUUGCUACUUGAACCUCCUACACAUUAUAUACGCACACAUACAUCCAAACAAUUCAAAAUAUUCUUUGAUCAAGAACUUGAAAGCUUGUAAUUACCCCAGACUUUUAAAAAAGAGAAAGUGGAAGAAUGUACAAGAAAUUGGGACAUUCAGGGAUGGCUUUGAGGAGGGGCACUUAAGAACUGGAGAGAAAGCGGCUUUGUUGUACAUCCUUUGUAUUUUGGGGGUUCUUUCUUCCACUUACUUACAAAACAGUUACUGGCAAAACAGUUUAAGCAAGAAAAAACAACUUCUCCUUCUUCCACGUCUCACAUCUAUGCAGCUCAGUACUCGGGCCAGAGGAGACAGACUGAGCUGGGAUCACUAGCUGGGAGCUGGGAGCGGGCUCUGCAGGUGAGUUCACCAACAGCCUGUGCCUGCUGCCCCCCGGCCACUGCUGGCGCCCCAGCACUGUGCUGGGCCAUCGAGCUGCAGAUGGCUGCCACUCAGGCGGACACUCCUCCUACUCCAGCUGCCAGGUGGGUGAAGAAGCCUAAAAGUCCAGCCAAGGGCAAAAGGUACCCAGUCAUGAACUAAAGCCCUACCCUUUCUAUUCCCUUUUAAAGGCAGACUGCCCCUUUUUGUGUUUUCUGCUAAUAGGAAAAGGAUAGAAAAGAAAAAAGGACAAGCCUGUUGUGGUGGUGCAUGCUUAUAAUCCCAGUCCUCGGGAGGCUGACGCAAGGUUGCUAGGAAUGUGAGGCCAACCUGUGCUACACAGCAAAACCCUGUCUCAAUAAUAAUAAUAAUAAUAGGAAGGAGUGACAAAUGAAAGUCCUGGAGGAGCCCUUUUCUUCAAGUCUCAGCCCUAUACUGUUUGCUUCUGGGCUGUAGCAUCUCUGGCCAGGUCCCACGCCCCUGGUUGCCUGCCACCCUGUGCCAGCCCCACAUCAGCUUGCCCUUGUGACACUGAGCCUCUGCCUGGCUUCCCCUUCUGCCUCCUUUUCUGGUCAUAACCUUGGGUAGGUGCUGGCCCAUCGCUUCUGCAUCCUCUACUUCUCUCCAGCCCUCUUCUGAUUUCUGACUCUCUCUCCUUAAACUUACCUCCCAUGUGGACACACCACAAACAGCUUUCUUCACUGAGGUCCAUUCCCUGUCUGGAACUGUCACCUGCACAACUUACGGCAGUCGAGGGUACGCUGACAGUACUGGAGCACCGACUUUGACCUCUUGCUGUUGGUCCCAAUGUCCAUCACUGCCAUACAUUAGCCAAGAGGGGCAGAGCUGUCCUUACUAGGCUCUGAGAAAGCGGGGGCAGGAGGACAAUCAGGAAGCCAUGGCAAAGCCAGACAAGCAGCAGCAGCAGAUGGUGAUGUGCACUUGGUGGAGUGGAUGUGAACAGACUGCAAGAGAUGAAAAGAUAUAGAGCAUGAUGAAAAACAGCUUCAGGGAAACAAAAGCAGAGAGGGAAAACCAAUAGAAGUAUAACAAAUACUAGCACCAGAAAGGCCUGAGGAGAAACCAUCCAAAGGGCAGCCAAGGACAGUUAACACAAGUGCAGUUACACUGGAGAGGUGGGCAGGAGAGGUUGGGGUGGCCGGCGAUCAAGAGGCUGGAGGCAGGAGCACAAUGCAAAGCUCUUGGGGAGGGCAGCUCACCUUCCAAGCUGCUGGACUGACUGGCUGCUGCAAGCAGCACUAUUUAAAACAUACCAGGAUCUCUGCCUCAUUCUGUUUCCCUGCCCAGAAAAGGCUGCAGCCAGAGGCGGAGGGAACAAGUCUAGGAGGUGGACCCCGCGCAGACCACAGGCUAAGGCUGGAUUCGGAAGGUCCCUGCCUGUCCAGAAUGACCUCUCUUCCUUCCACCCUCCCCCAAGCCACCAUGCCAUUGGCUACAAGCAGACUGAACACAGUCCCGAAGCCUCAGACUUCUUUCAUCCUGUCUUCAAGCUUGUCAGAAAGCAGAUGCUGCUCAAAUGUGACAGCUGCUCUAAGGAGAUGCUCAAAGGGAGCUUUCUGACCAGUGGGGAUAUUGCUAAUGAUGGCUGAGAGGGCUGGGCUGAUUAGAUUUCAGCAAGACAAAGGAGAGAACAUAAAAGGGCAGGAAGGAUAAAAUGGCCCUAGGGAAAUCAUAUGAGCCUUGAGUUGGAAAUCACCAAGGGCCUCACUCCUUUCCUUGGACAGUGGAUCUCUGGGAAGCUCAAACUGGAGACCUGACUCCUAGCCUUCUACCACGGAGGGAAUGAAAAAGGCUGGGAGCUGGAAGUGGCCAAGGAAAGCCACCCUGCAGACUGUGCUCCUUUCCCACUGACAGGCUUAGGGCCAGAGGGCUGCAAUGGUUUAUCCCUGGAUGUCCCCCAAAGCCUCACUGCUCAGAGGCGAGGCUGGUGGAAGGUGCUACAGCUGGCUUCCUGUUAGGAGGUGGGGUCUGGUCAGAAGAGGUGGGUCACUGGGGGUGGAACCUGGAAGAGUUCAGCUCCCUCCCUAGCUCUGCCCUGCACUCUCUGCUUCCUGUCUGCCAUGAGGUAAAUACCUUUCCUUUGCCCAGCCCCUUCCACCGCGCUGUUAACCACACAAGGACUAUCUAAAACGUUAACAAAAAUAAAUGUUCCCUUUAA